UUUUACACCACUAAAAUUUAAUAUUUGAAAAUGUAUAAUAAUUAUUUAUUUUCAUUUGGUUUGAUUUGCAUUAUUCUCAAUUUUGAUUUUGUAAAUUCCACAGAUAAAGUUUCUAAGUUAAACUUAUUUUUAAAAAACCCUUUUUGGUUAAAAUUAAGAAAAAGUUUGCAUAUUAUUGAUGAAAGUCAUGGAGAAAUCGCCUUGGACCAAUUGAUUAAAGGAAUUACUAGAAGUGAUUUUGUUACAUCUGAAAAUCUAAACGAUAAAGCGAGACAGUUUUACUUGUUGCUAAGUUGCAAUCUUUUUAAGACAUUAGGAGAAUAUACAGAUUAUGUAAAAAUAAUGUGGACAGAAUGUAAAAAAUACCCUGGCACAAAAAUAGGUUGUAAGCAUUAUGUUAUAAGAGAAUUUAUUGCUUUCACAAACGUCAUUGCAGAUUGGCCGGUUGCAUUUUCUUCUUUUUCAAAUUACACUGAAAUGGAACUUAAAAAUAACAUAAAUUCUUAUGUAGACAUAGUGUAUUAUUUAGCUUCAUCAAAGAAACAUAGUGACAAAGAUUUAGAUGAAAAAUUUGAUGAAUUAGAUAAUAAUGUUCGAGAUUUUAUGAAUGAUCAUUGUAGACCAAAACCGCCAACUCCUUCUAUUAUAAUGGAUCACUACAAUAAAUACGUUAGAAAUAGGACCAUCAGAGAAAUAUUUGUGAAAGUCAGACCUCAUCUUAAUAAAACAAAAAUAUUACUUAUAGCUACUUUGUUGAAUCUUGAUUUCCUGCAUUCAAAAAAGUGUGCCUUAAUGGUAAAAUUUAAUUAUAAAGUUUGUGAAUUAGAAAAAUUUUUUAAAUACUUACAGUGGACAAAAUUUAGAAACGGCUUGCAUAUUAAUGAUGGAAAUAAUGGAGAAAUUACCAUGGACCAAUUGCUUGAUGGAUUUGGAACAAAGGAUUUUGUUACAUCUCAAAAUAAAAACGAUAAAGUCAGACAGUUUUAUUUGUUCUUGAGCUGUAAUUUCUAUAAGAUGUUAGAAGGAUAUACAGAUUUUUUAAGAGUAUUAUGGAUAGAAUGUAAAAAACAUACAGCAGAAAAACAAAAAUGUAAAAAACAACUAAUAAUGGAAUUUGAUUCUUUCACAAAUUUCAUUGAAGAUUGGCCGGCUGCAUUUUCUUCUUUCUCAAAUUACACUGAUAUGGAACUUAAAAAUAACAUUGAUGCAUUUGUUAUCAUUGUAUAUUAUUUAGCUUCAUCAAACAACAAGAAUGACAAUUUUAUAGACGAAAAAUUCGAUGAAUUAUAUAAUAUUGUUCGAGAUUAUAUGAAUAAUAACUGUAGACCAAUACAGCCAACUCCAUCGAAAAUUAUCGAAUGGUACAACGGCAUAGUUGAAAGAGGAAAGCCUAGAAACGAAAUAAUCAGAAAUAUCAAAUAUUGUCUUAAUACCAUAAAAAUAUCAAUAUUUGAAACUUUUCUGAAAUUUGGUUUCUGGCAUACAAUAAAGACUGUACCUAAAAUAAAGACAUUAGAUCUAUAAUAAUAACUCUUGAAUUUAAUUUCAAUUAUAUUGUUGCAUUCAUUUAUUUAUACUCUGGUUAGAAAGUCAGUCAGUAAAGUCAGGUUUAUAUACAAGAUGUCUGAUCAAGCCAUUUAAAUUUAAAAAUUGCUCAUAGUUUAAAUCUAAUUAAUGUAUAUCCAUUUCUAAUAAUUAUACUAUUUUGUUUUGAUUUUUAAGAAUAUAUAAUUAAUUGAAGAGUGUUAUAAAUUCUUAUAUAAUUUGUUUUAUUAAUUUGUUUGAUAUUUGUCACCAUUUCUACAAAUCAAUUGUCUUAUUUGUUAGUCUCAAAAGUAU
RNA transcript from Daktulosphaira vitifoliae (grape phylloxera), 1839 nucleotides. RefSeq lists it as uncharacterized. The transcript is spliced from 3 exons. NCBI's taxonomy places the organism in Eukaryota, Metazoa, Arthropoda, Insecta, Hemiptera, Phylloxeridae. The record is from RefSeq and is a predicted model, not a curated record.